UACGUAGGGUGCGAGCGUUGUCCGGAAUUAUUGGGCGUAAAGAGCUUGUAGGCGGUUUGUCGCGUCUGCCGUGAAAGCCCAGGGCUUAACCCUGGGUCUGCGGUGGGUACGGGCAGACUAGAGUGUGGUAGGGGAGACUGGAAUUCCUGGUGUAGCGGUGAAAUGCGCAGAUAUCAGGAGGAACACCGAUGGCGAAGGCAGGUCUCUGGGCCACUACUGACGCUGAGGUGCGAAAGCGUGGGGAGCAAACAGG
This 253-nucleotide ribosomal RNA is filed under the name uncultured bacterium. RNAcentral's name for it is "partial 16S ribosomal RNA". It matches the Rfam family "Bacterial small subunit ribosomal RNA", at positions 524 to 776 of the family's 1533-position model. The record is from RNAcentral.